Non-coding RNA from Pelobates cultripes (western spadefoot toad), 241 nucleotides. NCBI's taxonomy places the organism in Eukaryota, Metazoa, Chordata, Amphibia, Anura, Pelobatidae. The record is from the annotation of a GenBank genome assembly.
GUGUGUGUCUGUCAUAUAUCAUACAGUCAGUCUGUGUCCUGUCAUAUAUCACGCAGUCUGUGUUCUGUCAUAUAUCACACAGUCAGUCUGUGUCCUGUCAUAUAUCACACAGUCAGUCUGUGUCUGUCAUAUAUCAUACAGUCAGUGUGUGUCCUGUCAUAUAUCACACAGUGUGUGUCUGUCAUAUAUCAUACAGUCAGUCUGUGUCCUGUCAAAUAUCACACAGUUUGUGUUCUGUCAU